This 435-nucleotide ribosomal RNA is filed under the name Babesia sp. RNAcentral's name for it is "SSU rRNA". It matches the Rfam family "Eukaryotic small subunit ribosomal RNA", at positions 500 to 959 of the family's 1831-position model. Lineage: Eukaryota; Apicomplexa; Aconoidasida; Piroplasmida; Babesiidae. The record is from RNAcentral.
GUCUUGUAAUUGGAAUGAUGGGAAUCUAAACCCUUCCCAGAGUAUCAAUUGGAGGGCAAGUCUGGUGCCAGCAGCCGCGGUAAUUCCAGCUCCAAUAGCGUAUAUUAAAGUUGUUGCAGUUAAGAAGCUCGUAGUUGAAUUUCUGCCUUAUCAUUAAUUUCGCUUCCGAACGUAAUUUUAUUGAUUUGGCAUCUUCUGGAUUUAUAUUUUUAUUAAUAUUUUUCCAGUAUUUACUUUGAGAAAACUAGAGUGUUUCAAACAGGCUAUUGCCUUGAAUACUACAGCAUGGAAUAAUGAAGUAGGACUUUGGUUCUAUUUUGUUGGUUAUCGAACCAUAGUAAUGGUUAAUAGGAGCAGUUGGGGGCAUUCGUAUUUAACUGUCAGAGGUGAAAUUCUUAGAUUUGUUAAAGACGAACUACUGCGAAAGCAUUUGCC